CUAAACAUAUUACCGAAACUGUGGAUGAACCUCUUUAGAGGUUCGUGGUAGGAGAGCGUUCUAAGGGCGGUGAAGUCAGACCGGAAGGACUGGUGGAGCGCUUAGAAGUGAGAAUGCCGGUAUGAGUAGCGAAAGAAGGGUGAGAAUCCCUUCCACCGAAUAUCUAAGGUUUCCUGAGGAAGGCUCGUCCGCUCAGGGUUAGUCGGGACCUAAGCCGAGGCCGAUAGGCGUAGGCGAUGGACAACAGGUAGAGAUUCCUGUACCAGUGCUAAUUGUUUAACCGAUGGGGUGACACAGAAGGAUAGGGAAUCGCACGAAUGGAAAUGUGCGUCCAAGCAGUGAGUGUGAGAAGUAGGCAAAUCCGCUUCUCGCGAAGCAUGAGCUGUGAUGGGGAAGGAAAUUAAGUACGGAAGUUCCUGAUUUCACGCUGUCAAGAAAAGCCUCUAGGAAGAGUAGUACUGCCCGUACCGCAAACCGACACAGGUAGAUGAGGAGAGAAUCCUAAGGUGAGCGAGAGAACUCUCGUUAAGGAACUCGGCAAAAUGACCCCGUAACUUCGGGAGAAGGGGUGCUCUAUUAGGGUGCAAGCCCGAGAGAGCCGCAGUGAAUAGGCCCAGGCGACUGUUUAGCAAAAACACAGGUCUCUGCAAAACCGUAAGGUGACGUAUAGGGGCUGACGCCUGCCCGGUGCUGGAAGGUUAAGAGGAGUGCUUAGCUUCGGCGAAGGUACGAAUUGAAGCCCCAGUAAACGGCGGCCGUAACUAUAACGGUCCUAAGGUAGCGAAAUUCCUUGUCGGGUAAGUUCCGACCCGCACGAAAGGCGCAACGAUCUGGGCACUGUCUCAACGAGAGACUCGGUGAAAUUAUAGUACCUGUGAAGAUGCAGGUUACCCGCGACAGGACGGAAAGACCCCGUGGAGCUUUACUGCAACCUGAUAUGGAAUGUUUGUACCGCUUGUACAGGAUAGGUAGGAGCCGAAGAGACGUGUGCGCUAGCAUACGAGGAGGCAAUGGUGGGAUACUACCCUGGCUGUAUGACCAUUCUAACCCGCCACGCUUAGCGCGUGGGGAGACAGUGUCAGGUGGGCAGUUUGACUGGGGCGGUCGCC
This 1109-nucleotide ribosomal RNA is filed under the name Listeria monocytogenes. Its description in RNAcentral is "partial 23S ribosomal RNA". It matches the Rfam family "Bacterial large subunit ribosomal RNA", at positions 1181 to 2287 of the family's 2925-position model. The record is from RNAcentral. Lineage: Bacteria; Bacillati; Bacillota; Bacilli; Caryophanales; Listeriaceae.